UUUACGUUAUAUUUUAAAACACAAAAGGAACUAAAUGAAAAAUAAAGGGAAAUAACAAAACUAACCUAAAACAUAAACUCACCAGCACUUACGUUACCCAUUUCCUAUCCACCCAAAAAUAAUUCAAAAAACUAAUCCCUUUAACCCCCUUUCCCUAAUAACUCUCAACAAUACAUAAAAUGCCUAGUGGACUUUAUUUAUAAAAAAAAUACUCUCAACAAUACUUAUCUUCCAUUCUCCCACUCCCUCACGUUCACCCUUAUCUCUCUCACCAUAAAACUCUCAACCAAACCCAAUCCUAAUAAAAAAACUAAUUCCCUAUCCCUUAGAACCAUCAACCGUAAUUAUCCCUUAAAAAUCCUACUCCCUUACGCCUCUUUAACCAGCAACAACAUACAACUAUAUAUACUCCCAUAUCAUACAACGUAUAGAGAACACAUCAGAAGUAGUAGAGAGAAAAAAAGUAAAACAGUAAAAGAAAAACAGUGAGCAAAAGAAAAUAUAGAGAGGAAAAAUACUUAGAGCAAUUUAGGUGUUUCGGAAAGGUUUUAUUCGAGUACGAAGUUUUCGUUUGAGGUUUCCGCCGAGUUCAAAAGUUUUCCGAUCGAGCUUCAUUUAGUCAUCUAAGAUCGCUGUUUUGAUUUGCAGAGACAUUUGAGGUGCAGGUAGACAGACAGGUGGUCCAGCUUAGUAGGACUUUUAUCCAGCAACGAUCAGUGCACUCCAUUUGAUCCGGAGUUGCAUUCUAUUUUGGUAUGCCAUUCUUUUGAGGUAUAUAUAUAUGGGAAUGGCGGGGCCCUGUCCCGUCCUUCUACGGUUUUUAUUCCACUAGAGGUCUGUAGACAGUUGUAUAUAUGAAUCAGAUGAUGUAGCCUUGUUGACUUCUAUUAUUUUAUGUACAAUAUAUGUAGCAGCCUGGCUGGCUUGCACUGUUCUUUCAAUAUGUUUAUGUAUAUACAGAAUGAUCAGAGUU
Molecule: long non-coding RNA, 973 nt
Organism: Lycium barbarum (goji berry)
Lineage: Eukaryota; Viridiplantae; Streptophyta; Magnoliopsida; Solanales; Solanaceae
Exons: 2
Source: RefSeq, a predicted model, not a curated record